This 4083-nucleotide long non-coding RNA is filed under the name Oryza sativa (Asian cultivated rice). Its description in RNAcentral is "long non-coding RNA (OSAT_LNC000130)". Lineage: Eukaryota; Viridiplantae; Streptophyta; Magnoliopsida; Poales; Poaceae. The record is from RNAcentral.
CCACACCGAGCGCCGUCUCCGCUUCUCCUAUACCGAGCGGCCGCAAUCCCCCUCCAGAUCCAGCCCUCCGCCGGCGCCGUCCAUCCAUCAGCCUCGCCCUUCUCCUCCGCGCCGUCAUUCGCUGUCGAGGCCGCCGCCUUCCCCAAUCCUAGACCUAUUGGCCCGGAUAGGGGAUCUCGCCGCCAUCGUCGUAUCUCGCCGUCGCCGCAACCUACAAGUAAAUACCCCCAUCCACCAUCCUUUCCCAUAUGUGUUGUCCUUGUAUGUUUAUAAGUUGGUUGAUUUUUCUCAUGUUGCACAGGCCACGGAAUCUGAAAUUAUUUGUAUACAUGUGCAUUCUCAUGCUGUUGGAGAUGCAUGUGUGUGGCGGCGGCUGCCUGUGGGUGGCACAUGCAUGUGGCGUCGUGGUCAGUAGAGCGUCAACCCCCGCGGAGGCUAUGAGUGGCGUAGGUGUGCGGCGCGGCGGCGAGUGGAGGCGCAGGUGGCUCAAGGCCAAAAGCGAGUACUAUUACUGCAUAUACAUGUUUUGGAGAGCGAUAUGCGUUUAAAAUGCUGCAAUGCGAAACUGUGCCACUUUGCCCACGCCUCUUUCCGCACUGAGUCGAUGCCGGUAGCACAACCGACGAGGUAAAUUUUUUUUUCUUUGCAAACUCCUGUUCUUCCCAACUUCUGGAAGCCUGUUCCUAUUCUAUUUCAGCGAAUAACAAUGAUAUUUCACUAGGAUUAUACUGCAGGGUUAUGCAUGUUACUAGCCAAUCUUAAAUAUAUCAAACUUUAUUGACUGAGCUGAGUGAUUAGGUGUCAAGUUGCAGUUUAUAUAUCAAACAUCGGAUGAGUGAACAAGAAAUUCGACAGGUUGAUAGAUAUAAAUGGGCAAAUGAUCGGGAAGAUUAAGAUUGCAUAUACACAAUGAUUUUCACUUCAUUUUUGCUUCUAUUCUGCAAACCAUGGAUAUGCUCUCUGUUUUGGUAAUCGUCCAAUAACUAGCAAUAACAUGCUCUGAAUUGUGAUGAUUGUGAACUAAUCCUAGCGACCAACUUGAUGAUGUUAUAGUCAGGAUUGUAAUUACUGUUUCUAGGGUUCUACAUAAAUUGGCUUGCUAGGGUUGGAUGAAUAAUGAAUGAAUGAAUGCUGAUGCAAGUGCAGUACUGGAACUAGAAAAGCUAAUAUAAAUCAUACUAACAUAAUUAAGUCCUUGUAUAUGCUUGCAUGAUGAAAUAACUGAAUUUGGCACAUCAGCAGGAUCAUAUUCUAAAAUAAAUCAUAUUGAAUGAUGCAGUAAUUUACAUGGUUCUAUACUUUGAAAAUCAUGCCAAGAUAUGAACUAUAGAGAAUGGAAUUAUAACCCCAUGAAACCUGACCUUGAAUACAGAUAAUUUACUGCUACUGACUGUAUAUUGUGACUAAACUAUAGAGUUGUUGAUGCUGGAAAAAACUAAACUAUUGAUUAACUAACUAUUUUUACAGUAAAUGAUUUGGUAGAAAAAAACUUAUAUGUUCUGUUAAGUUAUUAAAAUUUAGUAGAACUAUGACUAUUUAUCACUAUGCAUACUUAGAUGUACUUAAAAUUCAUCCUAUGGUUUCUUUUCUGAGUUUUGUAGUAAAGAACUAGAUACAUAUACAAACUUAACCCAGAUUCAUAACCUACUGGUUUCACAUGCUAUUCUACAAUUCAAAUGAUUAAUAAUUUAGGAUGGUUCCUCUAUUAAAUCUGGGUUGAUUUUCAAUAUUUUUAAAUGAAAUUAGAUUCAUAUACACAUACCCUAACCUUCCAAGAAUAUGCACAGCUCAGAUUUUACUUUGUUUGUAUGACCAAAAUCUGAAAGUUCUAUAUUUUUUUAAGUGCACAUGCAUUUGUAUAAAAUUCAUGUUUUUCUUUACUAAUUUUCCGUUCCUGGUUAUAUAUGCAGUUACAUUGUGAGUUUUUGACUGUGUACAUGGGCAUAGGUAGCUUACUUUUUGACUGUAUCUCCUUGUGGAUACAGUUUCUUUUUUUAGAUCAAUUUGGAAUCCCUCUGAUUAAUUUAUAUUUUCAGAAAAGAAGUUUCAGUAUAAACCUAAGAUAAACUUGAGAAUCUUCAGUUUCUCAAGUUCUGCUGACAGUUCCUUACAACUGAUUGGUUCUGCUUGAUUUCAGUUUUCAUCCUAGCAAUUGCAGUUUAGCAUUUCUUGUAAUCAUGUAGUUUCUGUCCAGUUUCCAGUGGAACAUUAGGUACCGAAUUACCACUUGAGUGGUGAUCAUCUGAACUAAAAGCCAGCAUUUGAGUUCAUGCUAUUAGCCUAAAAUUACAGAAAUUUUGUUUCGGUCAUUAUUUUGAUAUGAGUUUUCCCUGCUCAUGCUAAACUCACUUCUACCAAACUAUUUGAUGUUUCUAGCAAGAGAGUCAAAUCAGUGAUGUUUUCAAUUUUAGAAUCAAGAAACAUGAAUAUUGAUAUAUGCAUGCAGGUCUUCAGCGAGUGUCAAGUGUUGUGUGAUGAUAUAGUAGGGGACAUGCACUGUGAGUAGUAUUUAUAUAGAGCACAUUUGAUCAUUGAUUUGCUCCAUGUGAAAGGAGCUUCAGAAUUCAGAUUAGAUCAGGGAUCAAUAUGUUUUGCUGAACUUUCUAUGUUAUUUGAUUGCAAAUUUCAGUUUGUCAAACCACUUUGUCAUGUUUUUUCCAUGCUGCACAUGCAUUUGCUAAUAACUAUGGAGUAGUAUUUUUAAUAUAACUGAUCACUGAUUAUAGAUGUUCAUCUAAUUUAUUUUAUACCACAGUAUGCUUUGUUUUUUCCCUUGCAUCUUCAAUUUUGCAAACUCCAACUCGUGAUAGGUUACUAACCUGCAGACCUCAGCUAAAAAUAAAUGUUCUGAAUAUUCAGGUAGCUUAAAUGGGAGAUCUAAAUAAUUUAUAUGAUUUGCGUUUUCCUGUGCAUAACGUCAUUAGUAAGGUUUGUGAUCUUUCAUAGUGAUGGGAAUAUAGUAAACCUGCAUAUAAUGUAGAGCUUUUCCUGUAACAAUUACUGUACAAAGCAAAUACUGCUUUAUGUUAGAUAAAUAAAUAGCCCUUGCUUUCUCCAUUUAUAUUAUACUGAACCUUUGUUGCUCUUGCGUGUGUUUCUUUUUUUGGAAGAACGGCUCUUUGUGGAUGUUUUGUUCAAAAGCAGAAGUACUUGCCACCCCUACCUUGCUUAUGUUGGUUGAUAAGUAUGUUGAAUUCAAGUUUUAAUGAAAAUUUGUAUCUUGUUAUUGUUUAAAUAGUUGGUGAUUAAACUGUCCUAAUUUCUUUAUUCAUUUUCCUUUUAUUUUGGAUAUGGAUAUAUUUUUUUUACCUGCAACCUCUUUUCUGGAAUUAUAUAGAAAACAACUCUUUUCUUCUCUUUCAAAAGUAUUUAGGACGUAACACAACUGAGAAUCUCCAGUUUUUCAGGAUAAAAUUGGCAAGUAGUCCUUUUGGCAAAGACUAUAGUAAUCAGGAGGUAAGAAUUUGUUCAUAUAUUUCCCUGACUACUUUCUUGUUUUAUUUUACUUAUUAUUAUUUGAAACCAAGUGACAUCCCAUAUAAAUGAUAAAUUUAGCUAUUAGAACUGAUUUUAUCAUAUUUUCUUGUGCACUUUAAUCAAAGUAAAAUUUCUGAACACCAUAAGUUGCUAACUGUGCUUUGGAAGACUAAAAGCAUAGUAUUUGACGCUCUAAUCCUGUGUCCUCCAACUGACACCAAAUCUUUUCUUGCAGGUCAUAAAUCUAGGUUCACUAAACCCAAAGGCUUCUAUAGCACUGGGAUGCCUGGUGCUAGUGGUUAUUUGGGCAGCUAUGGGGGUGAUGGUGGGUAUGGCAUUACUCCACCGGGAGGCCAGGAAGAAAAUGAUUCAUGGUCAUUAGAUAAGAUCUAGUAGGUGAUUGUGUCCCAACAUCCCAUUAUAUCAUACCAUGCCAUCUUGUGCUAUUUUCUUUAAUCCUAGAAUUUAUUUUGCCAAAAUUCAUGAGGAUAUUGCUGGAUCAAUAGAAACAAUUGGCUGUAAGAGUGAAUGAUGGUUUGAUUCCUUAAAUACUUUUAAUAUACAUGCGUUGCACCAAUUUCGGUUGUGGAAUAUUUUUGUUACAGG